Non-coding RNA from Aspergillus leporis, 72 nucleotides. The record is from the annotation of a GenBank genome assembly. NCBI's taxonomy places the organism in Eukaryota, Fungi, Ascomycota, Eurotiomycetes, Eurotiales, Aspergillaceae.
GGGCUUGUAACUCAGUGGUAGAGUGCUCGCUUCGCAUGCGAGAAGUCAGGGGUUCAAUUCCCUUCAAGUCCA